Molecule: long non-coding RNA, 876 nt
Organism: Aegilops tauschii subsp. strangulata
Lineage: Eukaryota; Viridiplantae; Streptophyta; Magnoliopsida; Poales; Poaceae
Source: RefSeq, a predicted model, not a curated record
GCCCUGGAGCUGCCUCGGGGUCCUCCUCUCCGGCUGGCCUCGUCGUCUCCUACCUCCGCUGGGAACGGGAUCCACGCUCAUGUGCCCCCCAGCUUCUCUUCUGGCCAGGAAAAAUGGCCUCGAUCCGACGAUUCCUCCUCUCACCGUCAUCCCCUUCUCUGUCAGUUGCCAUCCACCAUGGGGAGAGGGCAGAAACUCCCAGCACCAGUCUGUGUCAUUCGAGCGGUAAAGCCCCCUUGCAGUUUGUGACAUGUACGAGUGCAGUGCGUUAGUCGCGUUGGUGCAGCCCGCUGGCAUCCAGCAGGGGAUGCAGCUCUUCGGUGGGUGAAGUGCGGUCCACGACGAGCGCCAAUGCAGUGCUGUGCCCCACAGGAGGUGGCACCAUGGCCAUCUCAAUCUUGUCCCUGCGCCACACCAUGGAUCCCGUUCGAUAGCGAGCUCCCCGGCGACCAAGUGCUGCAGCCCACUUUUUUCUUUUUGCAAUUCGCAUGUUAAAGUUUCUUUUUGCAGUGUGUGUGAUGUUCGGUGUAAGCUCGAAUGAAGACACAGAUCAGUCCCCUAUGUUCUCUAAUGCAGAAAAAAGGAGGAAAAACCAAUUAUAGGAAAAGAAACAAAAGACUCGCUCUCCUGCAUGCACUUCGUUUAGAGUUUGAUUGAUGUCCUGUAUUGUGGGUCGUGGAGUUCGAUUGGGGCUCCCCUAGUAAAGUUCAUAAAAAAUUGUCCAUUGAGAUUUGCAGUGCAGUGCAUAGUAUAGAGGACUUUACUUUGUAAAAACUUCUAUAGAGGAGUUCAGUUUUUUCUUAUUUUUGGAAGAAUUCUUUUGCAAAUUUGUAUGGACAUAGUUUAUAAUUUGUGAAAAAUCGGAUGUUGAAAGCA